AACGAACGCUGGCGGCAGGCCUAACACAUGCAAGUCGAGCGCGCCCUUCGGGGUGAGCGGCGGACGGGUGAGUAACGCGUGGGAACGUGCCCUUUUCUACGGAAUAGCCUCGGGAAACUGAGAGUAAUACCGUAUACGCCCUUUGGGGGAAAGAUUUAUCGGAAAGGGAUCGGCCCGCGUUGGAUUAGGUAGUUGGUGGGGUAAUGGCCUACCAAGCCGACGAUCCAUAGCUGGUUUGGGAGGAUGAUCAGCCACACUGGGACUGAGACACGGCCCAGACUCCUACGGAAGGCAGCAGUGGGGAAUCUUAGACGAUGGGUGCAACCCUGAGCUAGCCAGGCCGCGUGAGUGAUGAAGGCCUUAGGGUUGUAAAGCUCUUUCAGCUGGGAAGAUAAUGACGGAACCAGCAGAAGAAGCCCCGGCUAACUCCGU
This 432-nucleotide ribosomal RNA is filed under the name uncultured bacterium. RNAcentral describes it as "partial 16S ribosomal RNA". It matches the Rfam family "Bacterial small subunit ribosomal RNA", at positions 29 to 506 of the family's 1533-position model. The record is from RNAcentral.